GGGGAUUUAGCUCAGUGGUAGAGCACUUGCCUAGCAAGCGCAAGAUCCCCA
RNAcentral lists this transfer RNA (51 nucleotides) under Rattus norvegicus (Norway rat). Lineage: Eukaryota; Metazoa; Chordata; Mammalia; Rodentia; Muridae. The record is from Rfam by way of RNAcentral.